This 34-nucleotide ribosomal RNA is filed under the name uncultured Russula. RNAcentral's name for it is "partial 18S ribosomal RNA". Lineage: Eukaryota; Fungi; Basidiomycota; Agaricomycetes; Russulales; Russulaceae. The record is from RNAcentral.
GGUUUCCGUANGUGAACCUGCGGAAGGAUCAUUA